UCCAACAUAAUCUCGUAAUAUAAGCAUUGUCGGCCCAACUUUUUGGAUAUCUUCAAUAAAUUAAUUGAAGAUAUUUAAAGAAUACUUUUUUUUCUUCCUUCCAUAUGCCACUAUGGAGUUUUGAACUCGGAACCUCCUAGGUACCAUCUAAACACCUUAUCAUUUAUCCACCACUAUAAGCCCCAAGCCACCAUUUGAUAUCUAAAGCUUCAAUUCUUUUUCCUAUAAGUUUAUUACCAAAUCUCUUUUCUCUCAUUAAAUCUUCAUUUUUUAUAAUUUAUAACUUCUUUUUUUAUUAAAAUUUUUAUACUUAUUUAUAAAUCUAUUAAAAACAUGUUUAUUAAAUUUUAUAUGAAAUAGAUACUUUUUGAUAUCAAGUAUGCAUCUUUGAACUUAUUUUUCUUUUGUAAAAACUUAGUUUUUUAUUUCUAACAAUUACAAUACUUCUUAUUAAUAGGAUAAUAUUCUAAAUAUAUUUUUAUAAACUUCUAUAAUAAUUAAUUAACUAAU
Molecule: long non-coding RNA, 510 nt
Filed under: Physcomitrium patens
Lineage: Eukaryota; Viridiplantae; Streptophyta; Bryopsida; Funariales; Funariaceae
Description: long non-coding RNA (PPAT_LNC002568)
Source: RNAcentral